CCUGGCUCAGAUUGAACGCUGGCGGCAGGCCUAACACAUGCAAGUCGAGCGGUAACAGGAAAGCGCUUGCGCUUUUGCUGACGAGCGGCGGACGGGUGAGUAAUGUCUGGGGAUCUCCCCGAGGGCGGGGGAUAACCACUGGAAACGGUGGCUAAUACCGCAUAAUGUCGCGAGACCAAAGUGGGGGACCUGAAAGGGCCUCACGCCGUCGGAUGAACCCAGAUGGGAUUAGCUAGUAGGUAGGGUAAAGGCCUACCUAGGCGACGAUCCCUAGCUGGUCUGAGAGGAUGACCAGCCACACUGGGACUGAGACACGGCCCAGACUCCUACGGGAGGCAGCAGUGGGGAAUAUUGCACAAUGGGCGCAAGCCUGAUGCAGCCAUGCCGCGUGUAUGAAGAAGGCUUCGGGUUGUAAAGUACUUUCAGCGGGGAGGAAGGGUUCAGCUUGAACAGAGCUGAAUUUUGACGUUACCCGCAGAAGAAGCACCGGCUAACUCCGUGCCAGCAGCCGCGGUAAUACGGAGGGUGCAAGCGUUAAUCGGAAUGACUGGGCGUAAAGCGCACGCAGGCGGUCAAUUAAUUAGAUGUGAAAUCCCCGGGCUCAACCUGGGAAUGGCAUCUAAGACUGGUUGGCUGGAGUCUCGUAGAGGGGGGUAGAAUUCCAUGUGUAGCGGUGAAAUGCGUAGAGAUGUGGAGGAAUACCGGUGGCGAAGGCGGCCCCCUGGACGAAGACUGACGC
This 739-nucleotide ribosomal RNA is filed under the name Photorhabdus kayaii. RNAcentral describes it as "bacterial SSU rRNA". It matches the Rfam family "Bacterial small subunit ribosomal RNA", at positions 18 to 746 of the family's 1533-position model. Lineage: Bacteria; Pseudomonadati; Pseudomonadota; Gammaproteobacteria; Enterobacterales; Morganellaceae. The record is from RNAcentral.